CCUACGGGGGGCUGCAGUGGGGAAUAUUGGACAAUGGGGGGAACCCUGAUCCAGCCAUGCCGCGUGUGUGAAGAAGGCCCUCGGGUUGUAAAGCACUUUCAGUGAGGAAGAACGCCUGGUGGUUAAUACCCAUCAGGAAAGACAUCACUCACAGAAGAAGCACCGGCUAACUCCGUGCCAGCAGCCGCGGUAAUACGGAGGGUGCGAGCGUUAAUCGGAAUUACUGGGCGUAAAGCGCGCGUAGGUGGCUUGAUAAGCCGGUUGUGAAAGCCCCGGGCUCAACCUGGGAACGGCAUCCGGAACUGUCAAGCUAGAGUGCAGGAGAGGAAGGUAGUAUUCCCGGUGUAGCGGUGAAAUGCGUAGAGAGCGGGAGGAAUACCAGUGGCGAAGGCGGCCUUCUGGACUUACACUGACACUGAGGUGCGAAAGCGUGGGUAGCAAACAGGAUUAGAUACCCGAGUAGUC
This 465-nucleotide ribosomal RNA is filed under the name Vreelandella stevensii. RNAcentral's name for it is "partial 16S ribosomal RNA". It matches the Rfam family "Bacterial small subunit ribosomal RNA", at positions 338 to 795 of the family's 1533-position model. The record is from RNAcentral. Lineage: Bacteria; Pseudomonadati; Pseudomonadota; Gammaproteobacteria; Oceanospirillales; Halomonadaceae.